ACUAUCCUUUUAUUUUUUCAAUACCUUUCUAUCAAUAAAAUUUCUUAUGCUAAAUGAAAUGCCAGGUGAAAAAGAAAAAUCGUGGUCGAGACGGCUAAGCCAAUUGAAUUUGAAUUUUCAUUUUAUACAUUGGAUGAAUCUGGUUUGUUAUUAACAGAGUAUAUUGAUUUGUAAUGGACCGCAACUUCGCCUUGCGGAAUGAUUGUGUUGUUUGACAUAAGCAAUCAAUGAAAAGGCUUUGAUUCUUUUAGAUACUUGAAGCCUGAAUUGAAUAGUUGAUUCUCUGAUAACAUUGAAAUGUUGUUUCUUUCCCUCUUCACUUGAACCAGCCAAAGAUAGACGAGGACCACCCGACAUGGUUACAUCUUCGGAUAAGAGAUUUUGAUCCAGAUUUUUUUAAAGCUAGAGGCAACCAAUCUAAGGUUUCCAAUCCCCCUCCCGAUGGGAGAUGGACACUCGGUUUCCAUAGUGCUAAGGCUUGUGAGACAGCUCAGUUAUUGAUUCUUGAAGAGACUAGUAAGCAGAGGUCCUCUGUUGAGAGCACGCUUGCUCCACUGCUUCAGGAAGAUUAUCUAGGAAAAAAUAUGGAUAGCCGAGGCGACUAAAGCUCCAGCCUGAGUUCUAGGAGUGCAGCUAUUGUACCACUCUCCUCGUCUGCAGUUUUCCAUGUGCACGGCCAACAAAGGUAGAGAAGACGCUUUUUGACCGGAGAAGGCUGAGAAAAA
Molecule: long non-coding RNA, 725 nt
Organism: Hibiscus syriacus
Lineage: Eukaryota; Viridiplantae; Streptophyta; Magnoliopsida; Malvales; Malvaceae
Exons: 3
Source: RefSeq, a predicted model, not a curated record